AGAAAAGGCAGACAGAAGAAGAUGACUAAGCAGACUUUCUGAGUCUUCCAGCCUUUCUCCUGUAUUGAAUGCUUUUUGCCUUGAACAUCAGACUCCAAGCUCUUCAGCUUUUGGACUCUUGGACUUACACCAGUGGUUUGCCAGGGACCCUCGGGCCUUUGGCCACAGACUGAAGGCUGCACUGUCAGUUUCCCUACUUUUGAGGUUUUGGGACUCAGACUGAUCUGCCACUGGCUUCCUUGGUCCUCAACUAGCAGACAGCCUAUCAUGGAACUUUACCUUGUGAUGGUAAUAACGUAGAUGACAGGAAGAAAUAGCAUUUGAAAAAAAUUGCAUGCUUGAAAAAGUGGAACAAUACUAACCAGUGCCUAAGAGGGGCACAAAACUGUCUAUACUUUUUACACUUCAAUGGAUGUGAAAUAAUUACAUCUUAUGGAAUCAGAAUUUCAGAGUUCAAAGAAAUAUUAAUGGUCUUUCAGGCUACGAAUAAGAAAACUGAGAAGAAUACUAGAGAACAAAUACAAACGAGAUAAACACAUCAGAGAGGACAUCAGAAGAUGAUUACUACAAAUCAUUGGAACAUAAGAAGGAGUGAUAAUGGGUUUAGCAAAAAAGGAAGAAGCUUCAAUAUAAAAUACUCUUAUAGUAAGAUUCUCUUGACAAAGGAACUGCAGCUCUGCUUUUCAGAACUCUGGAAAGACUCAGAGAGGAUCUAAAAACAUCCUACAUGAUUAAUGGAACGCAUGAGAUGAGCUGGAAGGAGGGGGAAGAAGGAUUAAAUGUUCCAUCUCUCAACUUAUGACGGAGGAUCACAACAAUUGAGUGGUCAUUGUUGAGAUACUGAGAUCAUCUUAACAGAACUGCUGGUCUUCUGCCUAAUUAUCUUCCAUUAAACUUUCACAAAUAGAUAAUCCCUAUUCACACACAGAGAACUUUCAAUAGCUUUUCAUUGCUUCUUUCUUAAAUAAAAUUGCAUAACCAAUUGCACCAUAUGUUUAAGAAAAAAUUGCAACAUAAAAAUGAGAGACCAAAUAAUUAAACAUAAAAUUAUUCUUUGACAAAAACUAUGAUUGUUAAUAGAACAUAAUAUGGAAGACAUUUUAAGCAUUCUGAUAGAGAUUUCAGAUGACAUUCAUCAUUUCAAGACCAGCAUGUGAUGAAAAGCAUGUCAAACAAAUAAAAACAAAACAAAAAAGGACCCCACGUGAAAUAAAAUUUGAUUCUGGCAAAAUAAACUGAAUAUGUUUUUUUAAUAGGAAUGCCAUGAGAUAAAGUUAAAGAAAGAUCCAGAAAGUAGAAAAAAAAGAAAAUAUGGAGAAAAUGUGGAGAUCAAAAUCUAACUAAUAAAGAUUUCAGAGAGAAUUAAAAAAACAGAAAACAAUAAUUUCACAAAAAUACAGUAACAUUUUCCAGAACUGAGGAACAAAGUAAUAAUCCUUUUUAAAUGGAGAGAAGUCAUGAAUAAAUGAACCAAAAACAUGUAUCUAGAUGUACCCUCAUGGCAUUUCAGAAAACAAAAAUUAAAGGGAAUUUUUCAAGAAAAGUAAAGCAGGUCACAUACAAAGGACUGCAAAUCAGACUGGUAACAGAUUUUUUAAUCAAUACUCAAAGUUUCAGAAGGUGCACAGCAGUGUUUUCAACAUUCUGAGGGGAUUAAUUCUCAACCUACAAUUAUAUCCUUAAACUGCAUAGAAAACUACAUAGUAUAACUUUAGAUAGAAGGCAUUUUCAGACAAAGACCCAAAAAGUUUAUCUUUCCAAGACCCUUUUCUAAAAAGCUAUUUCAGGAUAUACUUCUGCAAAAUGAGGCAAUGCACCAGUAAAGAAGAAAACAAAGCCUUCAUAAAACUGUUGAUGCAGUUAAGGAGAAUAAUUAAGGGAACUUAAUUAGGUCAAGGGAGCUUAGUUAGGGUCUCAGGGAAAAGGAAUACUGGCAAGUCUUAGUGGGAAGCAUUAAAAGCAUUUAAAUAUGUAAGUGUAACAUCUGGGGGAAUUAUAAAGUAGAUGAUAUAAUCUUCAACGAUUUAAAAAUGAUAAAAUAAUUAUUAAUAAUUAUGAGGUGAAGGAAGGGAUACGGAAAGUCAUGACAUAAUGUAAAUUUUCACUAUAUUUUAUUGAGGUGGCAUGAUCAAUAAUGUUUAAAACUGAAACAUUCUGUUAUAAAAACAUAAGUUCUGGAUAUUUUGUUCACAUAUAAGUAGACACACACACACGCAUAUAUUUUUCUUUUUUCUAUAGAUCAGUUAGCCAAUAAUAGGUAUGUCAUGGACAAUUAGUAGUUCGGUAAUUAAGUUUCAGUCUAGUUUCUUUUCUCAAAUACAAAUAAGAUUAAAUAAAAUAAUUAGAUUGCCUUAGCCUAGGUGCCUAGAAAACAUACUGGGGCAAAGUUUACAUAUUAGUAAUGUAUUUGGAGUGCAAACUCAGGGCACCAAAAGUAAAAAAAAAGAAAGAAAGAAAGAGAGAGAGAGAGGAGAAGAAAAAGAAGGAAAGAAAGAAAGAAAGAAAGAAGAGAGGGAGGGAGGAAGGAAGGAAGGAAAGAAAGAGAGAGAGAGAAGGAAAGAAAGAAAGAAAAAGAAAGAAAGAAAGAAAGAAAGAAGGAAAAACUGUGAGGCAAGGAAAGACAGUAAACAAAUAUAAUAUAUUGAGCCCAAAUCUUCAAGAAAAUAAAACUGACUGUAUAAGUGUGCAGAACAUCCUUGAGAAGUCACUGGAACACUGUGCCUUGAAAUAGUUCAAGGGAAGAAAAAGUAUGAAAAUUAUAUGCUGGAUCCUUCCUGUCUCUUGUCCCUCAUUAGUCAAGUUUGUCCCAUGGGACAUUUAUCUCCCUGUACAUCCAGGUUAUAUGAACCUCUUUCUGUUAGAAUCUGAAGACUCCAAGUUUCAGCUGGUUCAGACCUGGACACUGGCAUAGUUGUGACUCAUGCUUCAGGGGUGUGACAUACGCUAUGCUGAAGCCAGGCAUAAUCACUGGGGAAGGCAGACACCACCAGUGAAGUUAGAAGAUGAAACUACAGUAAUGCAAGAGGCAGCAGAGACUCUCCAUUGAGCAAACAACAUAGGUCUAUGAGCUGGUAGACAGAGAAGACACACCAAUAUAGGGAGUAUACAUUCCUGUUGGAAAGGGUAAACCACCAUCUCUUCCAAGGUAUAAGGGGCUCAUUACUGUAACUGACACAGUUCAGCCACUGUGUUUCCCUGAAUUGUGCCAUAAGGAGGAUUUAGCACCUGUGCUUGCUGCUGACAGAGCUGGGUAUUCAGAAGUGGCAGUAACUGUAACAGACUUGAGAAAAAGUCCAGGUUAUUGAACCCAUACAUUGUCUCCAUUCCUGCCACCGUAAUUAUUCUCCUCACUGGCUCUUCAGAACCACCAAGAUUAACAAAAGGAAAGUCUGGCAGACAUUCCACAAGGUGGGUUAUCUUGUUCAACUGACUGUUGAGAGACUUGGCUGUGGAGGAUUUUCUCCAAUGUGCAUUAGUGUGAGACCAAAACAUCUGCACUUUUAGUGAUCACUCACAUAGAUCCAUCUGCAUUAUACCUCUUCUUCACACUGCCUUGUCUCUGAUUUUUCAGUCAUGCACCAGGUUCUGCCUAAAGACACAAUUCACUUACUAGUUUCAGAACUUAGAAUAUGCCUUCGCCUUGGGCCACUUCUGCCAUACAAGGUGGGCAACCAAGUAUACUGCUUACAACUUUGCAUCCCCCUCCAUCCCUGAGGAGGAUUCCUCUUUAUACUUUCAUUUGGGGCCAUCUUUGAAUUGGGCUGUUAUGAAUCAGCAGCAGAGUUGUGGCAGAUGUUGCAAUAUCAUGACAACCAAUUUGCAAAGUAGGGCUCCAGUCCUUUCCUUCCUUGACUAUUGGUUGUAGUGAGGCUCACUUGGAUGUAAGCUGGAGAAGAGUUGAUAUAACAGAAGUAGGUGACAUGGGAGUCUGGACAACCUGUUUAUGUAAUUUACUUCUGUCUUCUUCAUUUGCUUGAGCCUGAUCCUCAAGAAACACUUUCAUUAUAAUGAAUUGGUGCGGCAUUUACCUGACCUUGUGUACUGGGGCCCUUCACGCUAAUGUCACGAGACAGCGGCAUCCCCACAUUCUUUCUUGUUGGCUAAAUGGGAAGAUAGAACUUCUAUGUGCCUAGUCAGGACAUAAAUGAUUGUUCAGGCAUAACGGAGGACCAGAUAAACCCUGGUUCUCAACACCAUUCUGGAGGCUGUGGCAGCUAGUGUAACAGGACAUGAGGCAAUAAUAGCUUCAGCUGAAGUUCUAAAUUAAGCAAGUGGUUAAAGUUGGGUGACUGUGAGAAGAUACAAGGAGAUAAAAAAUUGGAUUUGUCCUAAAUCUUAAGAAAUUAUAUGUAUUAUAUUUUUAGUUUUAGAAACAAUAUUUAUAUCUACUUAUCUACCUACCUAUACACUCAUUUAUCCAUUUACCCAUCUACUCAUGUAUUUAUUGAUUAUACUUUAAUUUGUAAUUAUUCAUAGAAAGAUGUCUAGAGAGAUGUUAUUAGUGUUUGCUUCUUGAGAUGACUUUAGGGAGAGUAAUGACGUCAGAUGUGAAGAGGAAAUCUUUAUUCUCAUUUUAUAUGUUUUGGUACAAGUUGAAUUGUUCAUAUUAUUUUACAUUUAUGAAGUUUAUUUUUAAAAUUUUGUCAAAAGAAAUUACUGAGCAAAGAUAUUUUGGCUCCCAUAUUUUUCUGAAUAACAUCCAGGGUUUCUUUUUUUUUUUUUUUUUAAACAAUGAAUAUUAUGCAAACUUUAAGCAGAAAAAUAUGCUACAAUUGGAAAAAAAUUUGUAUUUUCUCUUUGUAUAUCUUCCCCCUCCCAAUGUUUUCCUUGAGUCAAAGUUGAGGAAUUGGAUUCUGGAUGAAUGCUGUAAUAUCAAUUAACUACAACUAUACAUAGUAUUUUGAAAGAUAAUUAGCAAUUGUGCUGUCCAUAAUCAUUGUAUUCAUUCUUUCCAUAUUCAACUUUAAAAGAACAAUUAGAAAUGUGAAUGCGCUUGGCUUUUUAUGGAAUGAUUUAAUAAUGGUCUCUAACAAGCUUGAACUCAAUUACCAAGGUUUAUUUCCAUUAUAUUACCUUCUGUGCUUUGGUUUUAGACAACCAGAAUCUGUCACAUCAACUACUUUUCUAUCUACCAAAGGUACUUAUUUACAUUUGUAUAAUGAUAUUUUGCAAAAACAGUACAAUGGUAGUCCAUUUGCUAUUACAAAUAAAGGUCACUUUCAAAGUUUCUGUAACAAUUUUCUACACUUUAAAAUGCGCACACUUGCUUUUUUGUCUGGUAUUUUUUCUGUCAUGUUAAUGAAAAUAUCAAUUAGAGCAGGGGUGCCCAACCCCUGGUAUGAGUCCGUGGCCGCUUAGGAACCCAGUGCCACAGCAGAAAGUGAGCAGCAGGUGAGCGAGAAUUACUGCCUGAGAGCUUCACCUCCUGUCAGAUCAGUGGCGGCACUGGAUUCUCACAGGAGUUCCAACACUGUUGUGAACUGCACAUGUGAGGGAUCUACAUUGCACGUUCCUUAUGAGAAUCUAAAGCCUGAUGAUCUGAGGUAAAACAGUUUCAUCCUGAAACCAUCCCCAC
This 5575-nucleotide long non-coding RNA is filed under the name Homo sapiens (human). Its description in RNAcentral is "non-protein coding LINC01794:9". Lineage: Eukaryota; Metazoa; Chordata; Mammalia; Primates; Hominidae. The record is from RNAcentral.